UAUGUUAAUAGCAUAUUCAUUUGACGUUAGCUGCAGAAGAAGCACCGGCUAACUCCGUGCCAGCAGCCGCGGUAAUACGGAGGUGCGAGCGUUAAUCGGAAUUACUGGGCGUAAAGCGCAUGCAGGUGGUUUGUUAAGUCAGAUGUGAAAGACCCGGGGCGUCAACCUCGGAAUUGCAUUUGAAACUGGCAAACUAGAGUACUGUAGAGGGGGGUAGGAAUUUCAGGUGUAGCGGUGAAAUGCGUAGAGAUCUGAAGGAAUACCGGUGGCGAAGGCGGCCCCCUCGGACAGAUACUGACACUCAGAUGCGAAAGCGUGGGGAGCAAACAGGAUUAGAUACCCUGGUAG
Molecule: ribosomal RNA, 348 nt
Filed under: uncultured bacterium
Lineage: Bacteria
Description: bacterial SSU rRNA
Rfam family: Bacterial small subunit ribosomal RNA
Source: RNAcentral